This 29-nucleotide small RNA is filed under the name Bombyx mori (domestic silkworm). RNAcentral describes it as "ovarian small RNA-2756". Lineage: Eukaryota; Metazoa; Arthropoda; Insecta; Lepidoptera; Bombycidae. The record is from RNAcentral.
GCGACAAAGAAGGUUCUGCCCUCCAGAUA